GUGACAUGUGUCUUUUACAAUCUGUAUUCCUGGGAAAUUAGGUUCAGGAUAAGGUACGGCAAGAGCACGCAUGUUGAGAGAACAAAAUGCAUGCAGAAGAUCGUUUGUGGUUGCUUGCCUAAAAAUUUGGGGUCCCCAAAAGAAGCAACACACAUUCCUGCCGUUGUUCCAUGGAUCAGUGAAGGGCUGUCAGUGGCCGCGAGCAACUCGUGCCGAGAAGUUUGUCUUGAUGUCGUGUCGACGAUUCUUGAUCUAAAUGGUUUGCCAGACAGCUGCAACGCAUUAGUGGACUCCCGGCCAGUCGACGAGCAAAGACGACCCACAGUCACCAGGAUGAACGCAAAAGAGUUCACGUUGAACACCGCUGCUGUGCGCCCGGAGGCUAAAAAAGAGCCUGUCAUACAAGGGAGAGAGAGAGAUAGGUGUAGGGAGGCCCCGACACCCUUACAAUCCCCACCGGGGACUGGGAACCAAGAAACUACAGCAAGCUGCUCGGGGAUGCCAAAGAAGAGAAGAGCAAUACUAGAUCGUGCUGAUGUCAAGGGGAGUGCCAUCGGUAAUUUAGCUGGCCUGUUCGCACCACUUCGGAAACACAAGCCAGAGAGACCAACUAGCAGUCGAGACAAGCCUCUGUUCGAUGACAGAGCGUUGAAGAGCUCAAAGAAGAAACAGAACGAGAAUAUUGGGGAGACAGUUGGGUGUGGUUCAAGCAAGUAA
Molecule: ribosomal RNA, 717 nt
Filed under: Triticum aestivum (bread wheat)
Lineage: Eukaryota; Viridiplantae; Streptophyta; Magnoliopsida; Poales; Poaceae
Description: partial small subunit ribosomal RNA
Source: RNAcentral